Molecule: ribosomal RNA, 1098 nt
Filed under: Triticum aestivum (bread wheat)
Lineage: Eukaryota; Viridiplantae; Streptophyta; Magnoliopsida; Poales; Poaceae
Description: partial small subunit ribosomal RNA
Source: RNAcentral
GAACUAGUACUACUACUCAUGUUGUUGUCCGCUGGAGCAUCUGCAGCAGCAGCAGGUGACCCAGGUCCAGCGACGAUAGGGAUGCCCAACUGCGUCACGUCCUGCGGCGGCGUGGACGUGCCGUACCCGUUCGGCCUUGGCCCGGACCCCAGCUGCUACCUGCCAGGGUUCAACCUCACCUGCGACACUACCGGCGGCGACGCACGGCUGCUGCUCGACGGCGACGCCACUCUCCAGGUCAUGUCGAUCGAGUUUUCCUCUUUAAUGGCGCAACACAACGGUGACAUCAAAAUCGACUUCGACGCCGAUGGCAACGGCAAGGGCACGUUCAGCACCGGCCUUUGGGACGAUGAAGACGGGCCCUACACCCUAUCAUCGUGGAACGAGCUCAUCUUGACGGGCUGCAACGUGCAGGCGACGGUGAAGAGUGGCAACGUCACUCUUGCCAGCUGCACCUCGCUCUGCCAGGGUCUUCGACCUGCUGCACGCAUGACACCCGAUGCCGUCGUGGAAUGCUCCGGCGGAACAGGCUGCUGCCGUGCGGAUAUCGUCAUGGACCCAUUCGCCCCCGGUGACCAGGAGGCCAAAGUAUACCGCAGCAGUAGCAUGUCCGACUAUGACGUGCAGCUCACAUCGUUGGGUCUUGGGAACCGUAGCGCAGACAUGGAGCGAUUUCCCGUGCAUGUGUUCAUCGCCAACCAUGGGUGGUUCCAAAACACCUCCGUCUAUAAUGACAUGCUACAGGCAGGUCAGCAAAUGGCAGUUCCCGUUUCCUUUGACUGGGAGAUUGUUGGAAAUCACAGCUUCUGCGACGGCAACCGAAUCGAACGCAUGAAAACAAGGAGAGGAGGCUAUUUCUGCACCUGCAAACGCGGUUACCAAGGCGGCAAUCUCUACCUUCCAGGCGGAUGCAAAGAUGAUAACGAGUGCGAGUGGUCACCAAGUAAAAGUGGAUGUUACGGCGAAUGUAUAAACACAGAAGGAUCAUUCAUGUGCCGGUGCCCGCCAGGAACCACUGGCAACCAUGCCAUACCCGAUGGGUGCUAUGCUAUCAGCGCUAACAGAGGUAGCUGCUUGGCGUCUUGUGGGGACGUGGAC